RNAcentral lists this ribosomal RNA (355 nucleotides) under uncultured bacterium. RNAcentral's name for it is "partial 16S ribosomal RNA". It matches the Rfam family "Bacterial small subunit ribosomal RNA", at positions 338 to 685 of the family's 1533-position model. The record is from RNAcentral.
CCUACGGGAGGCAGCAGUGGGGAAUAUUGCGCAAUGGGCGAAAGCCUGACGCAGCGACGCCGCGUGAGGGAUGAAGGUCUUCGGAUCGUACACCUCUGUCAGCAGGGAAGAACGGUCACUGUGCUAAUCAGCAGUGAAUUGACGGUACCUGCAAAGGCAGCACCGGCUAACUCCGUGCCAGCAGCCGCGGUAAUACGGAGGGUGCGAGCGUUAAUCGUACUUACUGGGCGUAAAGCGCUCGUAGGCGGUAUGUCAAGUCAAGGGUGAAAUACCCGCGCGCAACGUGGGAACUGCCUUGGAAACUGGCAAACUGGAGUGUGUGAGAGGAUAGUGGAAGUCCAGGUGGAGGAGUGAA